Molecule: ribosomal RNA, 282 nt
Filed under: unidentified marine bacterioplankton
Lineage: Bacteria
Also listed under: 1 other name
Description: partial 16S ribosomal RNA
Rfam family: Bacterial small subunit ribosomal RNA
Source: RNAcentral
CAAGUCGAACGGUGAAAGCGGAGCUUGCUCCGCUGGAUCAGUGGCGAACGGGUGAGUAACACGUGGGCAACCUGCCCCUGACUUUGGGAUAACUCCUCGAAAGAGGAGCUAAUACCGGAUACGAACUCCUUGGGCAUCCUUGGAGUUGGAAAGUUUUUCGGUCAGGGAUGGGCCCGCGGCCUAUCAGCUAGUUGGUGAGGUAACGGCUCACCAAGGCGACGACGGGUAGCCGGCCUGAGAGGGCGACCGGCCACACUGGGACUGAGACACGGCCCAGACUCC